UGCGAGUCGUGAGGGUUCGGCCCUCGGCGAACGGCUCAGUAACACGUAUUAUAAUUUGCCCUUAGGUGGAGGAUACCCUCGGGAAACUGAGAAUAAUACUCCAUAGAUUUAGAAUGCUGGAAUGCUUUUAAAUUGAAAGAUUUAUCGCCUAAGGAUAAGUCUGCGGACUAUCAGGUCGUAGUUAGGGUAAAUACCUGACUAGCCUACGACGGAUACGGGUUGUGAGAGCACUAGCCCGGAGAUGAUAUCUGAGACACGAUAUCAGGCCCUACGGGGCGCAGCAGGCGCGAAAACUUCGCACUGUGCGAAAGCACGACGAGGGAAUCCCAAGUGCUGGCUCGUAAGAGUCAGCUGUUUCUUUGUCUAAAAAACAGAGAGAGUAAGAGCUGGGUAAGACGGGUGCCAGCCGCCGCGGUAAUACCUGCAGCUCAAGUGGUGGCCGCUAUUAUUGGGCCUAAAACGUCCGUAGCCGGUUCUAUAAACGCCUGGGUAAAUCGUACGGCUUAACCGUACGAAUUCCGGGUAGACUGUUCAACUUGGGACCGGGAGAGGCUAGGGGUACUCCUGGGGUAGAGGUGAAAUUCUGUAAUCCUAGGGGGACCACCAGUGGCGAAGGCGUCUAGCUAGAACGGGUCUGACGGUGAGGGACGAAGCCCUGGGGAGCAAACGGGAUUAGAUACCCCGGUAGUCCAGGGUGUAAACGCUGCUCGCUUGAUGUUAGUCGGGCUCCGAGCCCAACUAGUGUCGGAGAGAAGUUGUUAAGCGAGCUGCCUGGGAAGUACGGUCGCAAGACUGAAACUUAAAGGAAUUGGCGGGGGAGCACCGCAACGGGUGGAGCGUGCGGUUUAAUUGGAUUCAACGCCGGGAAUCCCGCGGCCAU
RNAcentral lists this ribosomal RNA (880 nucleotides) under uncultured archaeon. Its description in RNAcentral is "bacterial SSU rRNA". It matches the Rfam family "Archaeal small subunit ribosomal RNA", at positions 52 to 936 of the family's 1478-position model. The record is from RNAcentral.